RNAcentral lists this ribosomal RNA (894 nucleotides) under human gut metagenome. RNAcentral describes it as "bacterial SSU rRNA". It matches the Rfam family "Bacterial small subunit ribosomal RNA", at positions 8 to 940 of the family's 1533-position model. The record is from RNAcentral.
AGGGUUCGAUUCUGGCUCAGGAUGAACGCUGGCGGCGUGCUUAACACAUGCAAGUCGAACGGGAUCCAUCAGGCUUUGCUUGGUGGUGAGAGUGGCGAACGGGUGAGUAAUGCGUGACCGACCUGCCCCAUACACCGGAAUAGCUCCUGGAAACGGGUGGUAAUGCCGGAUGCUUCAUCGGUAUGGGAUGGGGUCGCGUCCUAUCAGGUAGUCGGCGGGGUAACGGCCCACCGAGCCUACGACGGGUAGCCGGCCUGAGAGGGCGACCGGCCACAUUGGGACUGAGAUACGGCCCAGACUCCUACGGGAGGCAGCAGUGGGGAAUAUUGCACAAUGGGCGCAAGCCUGAUGCAGCGACGCCGCGUGCGGGAUGACGGCCUUCGGGUUGUAAACCGCUUUUGAUCGGGAGCAAGCCUUCGGGUGAGUGUACCUUUCGAAUAAGCACCGGCUAACUACGUGCCAGCAGCCGCGGUAAUACGUAGGGUGCAAGCGUUAUCCGGAAUUAUUGGGCGUAAAGGGCUCGUAGGCGGUUCGUCGCGUCCGGUGUGAAAGUCCAUCGCUUAACGGUGGAUCUGCGCCGGGUACGGGCGGGCUGGAGUGCGGUAGGGGAGACUGGAAUUCCCGGUGUAACGGUGGAAUGUGUAGAUAUCGGGAAGAACACCAAUGGCGAAGGCAGGUCUCUGGGCCGUUACUGACGCUGAGGAGCGAAAGCGUGGGGAGCGAACAGGAUUAGAUACCCUGGUAGUCCACGCCGUAAACGGUGGAUGCUGGAUGUGGGGCCCGUUCCACGGGUUCCGUGUCGGAGCUAACGCGUUAAGCAUCCCGCCUGGGGAGUACGGCCGCAAGGCUAAAACUCAAAGAAAUUGACGGGGGCCCGCACAAGCGGCGGAGCAU